GCCUGCACUUCUGCUGUAAGCAUGCAGCACGCCCGCGGCCGCGGUGAACGCUACAACCCCAAUUCCUCUUGCGGCCAGCUGAGCACCUGCGGAUCUUGCACCAACAUCAACUUCUGCCUGUGGCACAAGACCGAG
This 135-nucleotide non-coding RNA is filed under the name Ctenophora environmental sample. The record is from RNAcentral. Lineage: Eukaryota; Metazoa; Ctenophora.